This 347-nucleotide ribosomal RNA is filed under the name Haemaphysalis longicornis (longhorned tick). RNAcentral describes it as "partial 12S ribosomal RNA". The record is from RNAcentral. Lineage: Eukaryota; Metazoa; Arthropoda; Arachnida; Ixodida; Ixodidae.
UAUUAUUAAGAAAAAUUAUAUUGUUAGUAUAUAAAUUGUAUGAAAACAAAAAAUUAUGGCGGUAUUUUAAGCUUUUCAGAGGAAUUUGCUCUUUAAUGGAUAAAACACCUAAAUCUUACUAAAUUUAGUUAAGCAGUUUGUAUACCACUAUUUAAGUAAUAAUUUGCUAUUAUUACUAAAAUUUAUAUUAAUUAAAAAAAGUUAAGUCAAGGUGCAGCAUAAAUUUUAGUAUGAAGUGAAUUACAUUUCUUUUAAGAAAAAUUUGUUGAAAAUAAAAUUUAGGAUUUGAAAGUAAAAUUUUAAUAGAAGGAAAAUUUGAAUUAAGCUCUAAAAUAUGUACACAUCGC